Molecule: unclassified non-coding RNA, 135 nt
Organism: Cavia porcellus (domestic guinea pig)
Lineage: Eukaryota; Metazoa; Chordata; Mammalia; Rodentia; Caviidae
Source: Ensembl
AGGGAGGGAGGCUGCGGACGAGUGCGGGGAGGAGUUUGCGAGGGGAGGCGCUUGCAAGGGCUCCCCCACUUCUGCGCUGUGAGCAGGGGCACAAAGAGCCCUCUGCACUCCAACCUUCGCACCGUGAACCCGAGG